Long non-coding RNA from Solea solea (common sole), 467 nucleotides. RefSeq lists it as uncharacterized. NCBI's taxonomy places the organism in Eukaryota, Metazoa, Chordata, Actinopteri, Pleuronectiformes, Soleidae. The record is from RefSeq and is a predicted model, not a curated record. The transcript has 3 exons.
UCCACACAUAAAACUGUAAUAUUUCACCUGAGAAAGAAAAUACUUUACCGUCUUUGAGGUUGUGGCUGAUGUGUUUUGUUUUUCAGGACUGCACGAACCCGAGAUACCUGGCAGCAGGCACAUCAAAUGCAGUGAAGCUAAGCAGGUUCUUUGAUAAGGUUAUAGAAAAGAGAUAUUUCACAAGGGAUCCAAGUCAGAUGACAGGUUUCACUGACAGAAAACGGUUCAACUUCAAGAGUGUGCACUAUGACUGAUGAUGCAUGAAUGCUACAGCGAUGGUUUGGGGUUUUAUCAUAGAGUGUUUAGGCUUUUUUUUUUUUUCUCUUUACCACAACCACCACACUCACUGAAAUACUUUCUAUAUCUGUUCUGCCUCUACCCACAAUCUGUACACUGUCAUUUCUCCUUAAUCCAUUCAGUCUAAACACAUGUACAGUUUGCAUUAAAGAAGGACUUUAAGAGUAAAA